GUUUCAUAUUGCGUUAGAAGUUACAGGUUCAAAUCUCAAGCAUUAAUGGCUGGUAAAACGUAUUUAAUUUAGCAAUAUUCUAAAUAAUCAAUCCUUUUGUCCAGUAAAGAUCAAUGGCAAUUCAAAACUUUUAAGAAUACAAAAAAUGUUAUCCUUUUCUACAGAGAUUUAAAUGUCAAUCAACGGACAGAUAUUGCCUUUAGCGUUCCAGGCAUGCCCAACUACUCAUCAAAGCCAGAGGUUGCUGUA
Molecule: unclassified non-coding RNA, 249 nt
Filed under: Hevea brasiliensis (rubber tree)
Lineage: Eukaryota; Viridiplantae; Streptophyta; Magnoliopsida; Malpighiales; Euphorbiaceae
Source: RNAcentral